UGGGGGAUAUUGCACACUGGGCGAAAGCCUGAUGCAGCGACGCCGCGUGGGGGAUGAAGGCCUUCGGGUUGUAAACUUCUUUUGCCCUGAACAAGGCGCACCAUGGGGUGUGUUGAGUGUAGGGGUUGAUUAGCGCCGGCUAACUACGUGCCAGCAGCCGCGGUAAUACGUAGGGCGCGAGCGUUGUCCGGAAUUAUUGGGCGUAAAGGGCUUGUAGGUGGCUGGUUGCGUCUGUCGUGAAAGCUCAUGGCUUAACUGUGGGUUUGCGGUGGGUACGGGCUGGCUUGAGUGCAGUAGGGGAAGCUGGAAUUCCUGGUGUAGCGGUGGAAUGCGCAGAUAUCAUGAGGAAUACCGGUGGCGAAGGCGGGUCUCUGGGCUGUUACUGACACUGAGGAGCGAAAGCAUGGGGAGCGAACAGG
This 419-nucleotide ribosomal RNA is filed under the name bacterium. Its description in RNAcentral is "partial 16S ribosomal RNA". It matches the Rfam family "Bacterial small subunit ribosomal RNA", at positions 355 to 776 of the family's 1533-position model. The record is from RNAcentral.